GCCCUCAUCGUCUAGUGGACCAGGACAUCAGCCUUUCAAGCUGAGGACAGGGAUUCGAAUUCCCUUGAGGGCAC
RNAcentral lists this transfer RNA (74 nucleotides) under subsurface metagenome. Its description in RNAcentral is "tRNA-Glu". It matches the Rfam family "tRNA". Rfam says of the family: Transfer RNA (tRNA) molecules are approximately 80 nucleotides in length. Their secondary structure includes four short double-helical elements and three loops (D, anti-codon, and T loops). The record is from RNAcentral.